CCUCAGACACGUGUGUGUGUGUGACACACAUCCCCACACUUGGCUGGGACAGGACUGUGGCACUAGGUGAUGGGGGUGUUUAGUUGGUUUGUGGUUUGGGGGUGGUGGAGGUUGUGUAUCGCUACAUCGGCUGACUGCCUACUCUCCACGUGGCUGGGACAGGACUGUGGCAGUAGGUGAUGGGGGUGUUUAGUUGGUUUGUGGUUUGGGGGUGGUGGAGGUUGUGUAUCGUUACACCGGCUGACUGCCUACUGUCCAGGUGGCUAGGACAGGACUGUGGCAGUAGGUGAUGGGGGUGUUUAGUUGGUUUGUGGUUUGGGGGUGGUGGAGGUUGUGUAU
Molecule: long non-coding RNA, 339 nt
Organism: Gopherus flavomarginatus (Mexican gopher tortoise)
Lineage: Eukaryota; Metazoa; Chordata; Testudines; Testudinidae
Exons: 4
Source: RefSeq, a predicted model, not a curated record